GCCCGAGAGACCCGCGCUCAUGGACAAGUGUCGCCCGCGCCGGGCAGUGCCGUGGAGUCAGACCACGCAGUGACAGGCCGGAGGCGGCUCGAGGGAUCCAUAAUUUAUGAUGUGUUCUUACCAAUCCGGUUUGGGAUUUCACAAGCGUUGUCAGUUUCCUUCCCAUUUGUUGCUUCCGUCUGUCCUUUUGGAGAAAACUCUUUCCCUCCCCAGGACAGAAGCAGUUGCCCUACUGAAUUAAUGUGAUAAGGAGAAAAAAAAUGGGAUUGAAGAUUAAGGGAAUGGGUGAACACAGAACAUCUCAGGAUGGGGCAAUAUUUGGUGAGACCAUAUUAGAUUCUACCAAAUUACAAAUAUGUUCCAGUGCUGGGCCUGGAGAAGGCAGGGGCCUUGGCUCUUCCACGGUGGCUGUUCAUCAGCACUCACACAUCCACUACACUGGUGUAGUCACACACUGGAAGGCUGCUUUCUCCUGCUACUUACAAAACAAACUAACAAAUAAACAACAACAACAAAAACAAAACAGAAUAAAAAAACUCAAAACUAAACCAAAAACAACAAAUGCCAAACAAUACUCAAAGAACUACCAAAUUAUUCCCUGGGCCCCUGAAUCAGAUGGAGCUGAAUCAUUUUGGCUGCUAACUGAGUGA
RNAcentral lists this long non-coding RNA (650 nucleotides) under Macaca nemestrina (pig-tailed macaque). Its description in RNAcentral is "lncRNA (ENSMNEG00000045922.1)". Lineage: Eukaryota; Metazoa; Chordata; Mammalia; Primates; Cercopithecidae. The record is from RNAcentral.